UGCCACCCGUGGGGCUCAGCAAGAUAUGGCUUGCAUGGGCACAAGUUCCUUCACACUAGUGGAUGGUCUCUUCCAACCCCCACAACACCACAGAAUCUGUACUUGACCUUGAUCCACAAAUCAUGGGAUCUUGGAAAAAGUCCGAUACUGUAAUUACAUGGGUGAGUAAACUGGUCCUUCAGAUCAAGUUGAAGCACUUCUGCAUCACCGCUCUUUCCAAGGUCCAAUCUCUCAUAAACCAGUUGGAAACAACUUGAGCUUAUUGUUGUUCCAGCAUUCCAUUCAGAAGAGCUGAGGAGGGCAGUGAGAAAGCCCUGUUGCAUGUCAGCUGCCAAGAACCCCUUCACUCCCCACAGGCAUGAAGUCAAUGGGGAAGCUGGCAGGAAGUUGCAAACAGGUGCCCGCCUUCCUUAGCGACAGCAGCUGUGGUGCUAGGAUUGCUAUGUGAUGUCAUGUGUCGCCCAUUAUGACUGCUGUGCUUAGCGAUAGCAAAUCCUGUCCUGAUUGCCACUGUCAGCCAAGAACUACCUGCAUGGGGUAGGGUAGGGACGGAGAGCAAAUAACAAAUGCAGCUUUCCCCACUUCCAUAUGUGUGUGGUGAUGUGGCUUGAGCAUACAAAAGGGGCGGAGCUUGCCUUGCAGUGGCAUGUGGUGCUGCUCUUUUCACUUUUGACAGAUGCAUCAGAUCCCUUGGAUGUUUCUGGACCAGUGGUGAAAUCUAAAUUUUUUUGCUACCGGUUCUGUGGGCGUGACUUGGUGGGCAUGGCUUGGUGGGUGGGGGUCAUAUGACUGGGUGGGCGUAGCUAUGUAACCAUGUGACUGGGGAAUCAAAAGACAGAAACUCACUAACAAUGUCCUGCUGGAGCAGGGUUGGACUAGAUGACUUCUAGGUCCCUUCCAGCCCUGGAUUAUCCUAUGAAGCUGCGUCUAGUGCCAGGCCACUUUUCUUCAUCUUGGUUGCCAACCUGCCGGCCUGCCUUGCCCUUCCCUGUUCAUGUUUAUAUGCAACACACACAUGUACAUGCAGUGCUAUUUCUCAAAGAAAACCAUUGCUGGAAGGAAAUUAGCCCUUAGGACCUAUCCACGCCCAAGAACUGAUUGACUGAAGGACAAUCAAGGAACAGUUGAUUAGAAAUUCCAGAACUGCAUUGAAAAGGUAGCAAGACAAGGCCAAGGUCACAAAGAGGAAGCUUCUUGUUAAAGGCACAAUGGCCCUCUUGAGAAACUUCGCUAGCAGUUACCUUUGCUAAGUAUUGCUUAGGGUCAACCCAAAGUAACCCAAUAAAUAAAACACUUAUUAAAGAAACCCAGCAGCCUCAGUCCACAAUCAUUUGUCAAAGCUAUCCAAAUUAUACAUACCACAGAGCAGACACUUAAAAUAGGGGAAAUAAGAGUAGGAGAGAAGGUUAGAUAGGGAGGAAGAAAGGAGGAGGGGGAGAAAGGAAGGGGAUGUAGAGAAGGAGUAGGAGAGGAGGAAAGAAGAAAGUAGGAAGGAUAAAAGAAGGGAGGGAAAGAAAAGAGAGGGAGAAAAAGGAUUGCUGUAAAACAAAAAAGAUGAAAUGGAAGAAAGGCAACCCCAAAUAAGUUUAAACCUAUCAGGAUAAAGAAUGAAGUACUAUGAAAGUUAAAAGAGAAUAUAUAUGAUUAAAAAUGGAGAAAUUAGAAUUUGAGGGCGGAAGAAGAUGCUGUUUAUAUAGUAAGCAUAGAAAUAUUAAGCUAUGAUUAAAAAAAUUGG
Long non-coding RNA from Ahaetulla prasina, 1735 nucleotides. RefSeq lists it as uncharacterized. The transcript is spliced from 3 exons. NCBI's taxonomy places the organism in Eukaryota, Metazoa, Chordata, Lepidosauria, Squamata, Colubridae. The record is from RefSeq and is a predicted model, not a curated record.